ACACAAAAUUAAAGGUAGAAUUUUCUCUUUCUUAUUUCUCUUUCUCUCUUUCAGCUCACCUAAAACUAAAGGAAACCCCAACUACAGACCAGAUUUUUCAGAGUUAAUUAAUUCCUCCCUACCUAGUUAUCAAACUAAGAAGUAGUGUUCUUGAUUCAAAGGAAACUUAAGAGUAUUCCCAAGUGUCCCCCCUUCUAUACAACAUGGAGGUAUUGAUAAGCUCAUAAUGGUUGUAAAAAGGCCACCGUUAUUGUGUUUGUAUGAGUCAUGCUUUGUACAAUUUUCCGAAUUCAAUCAUAGGACAUGAUCGCUUACUUUUUAUGAUGUACAUAGACUUUCUAUAGGCAUUUGAUGAGACUAGACUUGUCUCUUGCUUCUGAUUUAAUAGCUCGUAAUGUAGCUGUCAAAUGAUGUAUAGGGCAUCGUGCAAUUAGAGAAUUAUGAGUUUAAACCAUUGAGCACGUAUCUUUUUCAAAGUAAUGUGUAGGAUAUUCUUAUGAAGAAUUAAAUGUGUGUACAGUGACUUAACCUCAAACAGUGCGCCAUGCUCCGCCUAUGCCUCCAUCUCUUCUCCGAGUCUAGUUCACUCACAAAGAGGAAGAAGCAAAACCAUCUAUCAUCUAGGUGGACCCUCCCAAAAAUGACUAAUAGUUCCCAAUUCUUGCAAAUUAACAGUCUCCAGAAGUAGUUUAAUAUGGCACGUCUUGUAGUGUAGGUCUCAUUGCCACUUGGAAAAUUAUCAUCCGAUCCAAUCUAAAAUCCAAUCCAAUUAAUUACUAAUUGAAUUGGAUUGACUUUUUAAUUGAAUAUUCAAUUACACACCUAAAUUUCAAUAUUAAUUUAAAUUAAGUAUUACCUUUUA
Long non-coding RNA from Cannabis sativa, 862 nucleotides. RefSeq lists it as uncharacterized. The record is from RefSeq and is a predicted model, not a curated record. The transcript has 2 exons. NCBI's taxonomy places the organism in Eukaryota, Viridiplantae, Streptophyta, Magnoliopsida, Rosales, Cannabaceae.